Molecule: long non-coding RNA, 425 nt
Filed under: Panax ginseng (ginseng)
Lineage: Eukaryota; Viridiplantae; Streptophyta; Magnoliopsida; Apiales; Araliaceae
Description: long non-coding RNA (PGIN_LNC008994)
Source: RNAcentral
UUCAGUCCCUCGUUGAUCAGGUCCAUGAUAGAGCUGUUGCUGAACUGGUGGUUGUCGGUAUUAUGGACGAAGGAGUUGUAGAGCUCAAAUGGGAAGUUCUCUUCGGGCCUGAAGUCCGAGGAGGUUGGUUGUCUUUUUCGAGCAAGUUUGGGUGAUCGUACCACUUGUUCUUCGGGCUCUUCGUCAGAAACAACGAUUUCAACCAGGGAGGUUGGCGGAGGAUCGGUUUCUGUUAGAGGUACUUGUGGUCCUUCGGAGGCCGGAGAAUUUGCUUGGGUUUUCCUCUUUUUGACGCGAAAGAUUCGGGUCCGUUCGUCAGAGGGCAUAUCGAGGAGGCACUCGGUGUGAUUUUGCGUGGGGGUGUGUUUGGGUUUUUGGCCAGCUUGCUUUCUUCGGCGAGGUUGGCUUGUCCCUUCAAUAGGAGU